AGUGAACGCUGGCGGUAGGCCUAACACAUGCAAGUCGAACGGCAGCACAGUAAGAGCUUGCUCUUACGGGUGGCGAGUGGCGGACGGGUGAGGAAUACAUCGGAAUCUACUUUUUCGUGGGGGAUAACGUAGGGAAACUUACGCUAAUACCGCAUACGACCUACGGGUGAAAGCAGGGGAUCUUCGGACCUUGCGCGAUUGAAUGAGCCGAUGUCGGAUUAGCUAGUUGGCGGGGUAAAGGCCCACCAAGGCGACGAUCCGUAGCUGCUCUGAGAGGAUGAUCAGCCACACUGGAACUGAGACACGGUCCAGACUCCUACGGGAGGCAGCAGUGGGGAAUAUUGGACAAUGGGCGCAAGCCUGAUCCAGCCAUACCGCGUGGGUGAAGAAGGCCUUCGGGUUGUAAAGCCCUUUGUUGGGAAAGAAAAGCAGCAGGUUAAUACCCCGCUGUUCUGACGGUACCCAAAGAAUAAGCACCGGCUAACUUCGUG
RNAcentral lists this ribosomal RNA (491 nucleotides) under uncultured bacterium. RNAcentral describes it as "partial 16S ribosomal RNA". It matches the Rfam family "Bacterial small subunit ribosomal RNA", at positions 29 to 507 of the family's 1533-position model. The record is from RNAcentral.